CUGGAGAGAUGACUUAAGAGCUCGCACUUCUCUUGCAAAGGGCCCACACUGGGCAGCUCACAGUGACCUCUAAGUCUAGCACCAGGGAUUCCGACACCUCUGGCCUCCAUGGGCACUCAUAAUUGUGCAUUUUCAAAUGUGCUACCACUGGGACUUACAUAAAAUUGAAAACAUUAUAAGAAGGAUACAGCGUAUCAGAUCUCCAAAACUGUGAAAUAGUCCAGAAACACUGUUUACUUUGAGACAGAAUCCUGGGCUACUAUUCAACUUUUCUUACUUCUUCUUCCAUGUCUUGUCCUUGAUGUGCACUUGACUCAUACUUUGUCAUCUAACUUUACUUUACUAAAGAGAUCUGGAGACAGUGUUCGUGCUGCUAGAACUGGAAGAAAUUCUGGAGAUUCUCUCCUGCUCAACCUAGAAGGGAAUGUCCCAGGAUAACGCCAAACACUGUGGAGUUAGAAGAAAGUGGACACAUGGGUACCACUGUGCUUUCCCCAGCUGACUUCCUGGAGAGGUACCAAGUCUCAGAAGUAUACGUAAGAUUGCCUUUGUUUUCUUUGCCCCAAGGGUAGCCAUGUUUCUCAAAGAUUCUGUGAUGUAGAAAAUAGUUGAGACAUCUUCACUCUGAAAGAUAGAGAUUGUGAUUUCAAAAAUAGCACAUUAUAUUUGGGAAAGUUAGGUGUAUAAAAAUCUGUUUCAUCGAUGCAAAUGCUUUGCAUUUAGAGAAGUGUGUUCUAUCUGGU
This 743-nucleotide long non-coding RNA is filed under the name Rattus norvegicus (Norway rat). Its description in RNAcentral is "long non-coding RNA NONRATT031942". Lineage: Eukaryota; Metazoa; Chordata; Mammalia; Rodentia; Muridae. The record is from RNAcentral.